RNAcentral lists this ribosomal RNA (20 nucleotides) under Heterococcus viridis. RNAcentral describes it as "partial 26S ribosomal RNA". Lineage: Eukaryota; Xanthophyceae; Tribonematales; Heteropediaceae. The record is from RNAcentral.
AGACACUCCGACAAGCAUGC